RNAcentral lists this long non-coding RNA (413 nucleotides) under Mytilus galloprovincialis (Mediterranean mussel). The record is from RNAcentral. Lineage: Eukaryota; Metazoa; Mollusca; Bivalvia; Mytilida; Mytilidae.
UCCGGAAGCAAAUGUGUAGCCGUAAUGAUCACUAACUUAGGUUAUUGUAAUCUUGUUUCAUAAUUAUGGAGAUUAAGUUUCCUGUAACAGAUCCACCUCCGUGACGAUACAUGAAGUAGAUACAAUUAAGGAUGUUUGCUCCUCCAUUUUUUUUAAUUUUUUGCCAUAUUUUCGGAAUCCUCUGGUUUUAUCCAUGUAUUGUCAUUAAAAAAAAUACCCACUAACCCCUACUUUUCUUUUCAUAAUUUUAUUACAUACAGUUUUAACAGCCAUAUUUCAAAAUAUUAUAAAAUUCUUGUUAUUUUUUCUUAAGUCUUUGAAACAAAUAAAGUGCUAAUGUUAAAUAUAUGAAAAAUCAAGAGAGAAUUAUUUUCCGACAAAUUUUUAAUGGCUUUUAUCUCGAAAACGAGCAC